AUUAAAGAACAUAUAUCCCCUGAACAUGCCUGAUCUUGCCUGAUUUGGAAGCUAAGCAGGGUUGGGCCUGCUUAGUACUUGGAUGGGAGAACACGUGAAGCAUUAUUAUUAACU
This 114-nucleotide ribosomal RNA is filed under the name Prolemur simus (greater bamboo lemur). The record is from RNAcentral. Lineage: Eukaryota; Metazoa; Chordata; Mammalia; Primates; Lemuridae.